Molecule: long non-coding RNA, 305 nt
Filed under: Capra hircus (goat)
Lineage: Eukaryota; Metazoa; Chordata; Mammalia; Artiodactyla; Bovidae
Description: lncRNA (ENSCHIG00000001494.1)
Source: RNAcentral
AACUGUCAGUGAGUGACCGUUAGUGGUCCUGCUCAGUCAAUGGUUGGCAUCACAUUGGACUCUGCCCCAGGAGCUGCCCUGUCCUGCCUGCUGCCCGCCUGGUACCAUAGAGUGUUGUUGCUGUGUGGCUGGAGCGGGAGUGGUCAUGUCCUAGGACUUGCAGGCAUACUUAAGAUGGACUCAUGGCCAAGUGAGGGUUUUUGGCUUCUCGACAGGGGAACAGAAUUCAAGAGCCUGCCAAGGAAAAGUGAAGGAUUAGCUGUACUGGGGAUGCACAGCUGUUCUUUCCACAAGUCACUUCAGAG